ACAUACGACCAUACCUGCCAGAAAACACGGGAUCCCGUCUGCUCUCCCCUAGUUAAACUGGCAAGGGCCAAACUAGUACUCAGGUCGGUGACGACUGGGGAAUCCUUGGUGUUGUAUGUA
Molecule: ribosomal RNA, 120 nt
Organism: Chaetomium globosum CBS 148.51
Lineage: Eukaryota; Fungi; Ascomycota; Sordariomycetes; Sordariales; Chaetomiaceae
Source: Rfam